Antechinus flavipes (yellow-footed antechinus) is the source of this 1615-nucleotide long non-coding RNA. RefSeq lists it as uncharacterized. NCBI's taxonomy places the organism in Eukaryota, Metazoa, Chordata, Mammalia, Dasyuromorphia, Dasyuridae. The transcript has 2 exons. The record is from RefSeq and is a predicted model, not a curated record.
CCGGUGACAGCCACGGGAGGAGGAGGUCCUCCCGGUGAGAGCCACGGGAGGAGGAGGUCCUCCCUGUGACAGCCACGGGAGGAGGAGGUCCUCCCUGUGAGAGCCAUGGGAGGAGGAGGUCCUCCUGGACCAGCCCUUGGAGCCCUUAUUCCAUGAUACCUUUCAGAAAGCUCAUUCCCCAAGAGGAACUCUGGGGGGAAUCAAUGAAGCAUCUAGAAAGCUGUUACUGUGAUCCAGGCACCAGGCUCCAUGUUGGCGGUCGGUCCCCAGGCAAACACCAACUGCCCCUUUAAGAAGGAACAACAGGAAGGCAGCACAGGGGUACAAGCUGGGCCCGAGCCAACUUGAGUGGGGAGGGCAAGGAAAGACCUGAGAGAGAGAGGCUGCAGCUGAGUCUCAAAGGGAGGCUCUCCAGGCACUGAGCUCAGCCUGGGGGCUCCCAAGGAGGCAGGUGGGGAAGAAGCAGAGCCAUGAUGGGAGCUGACAGGAGAACCCGCCAUGACCAAUCCUGCCCAAAUGAAAACCCCCUUGGCAACAGCGCAGGAUGAGCUGGAGUGGGAGGAGCCAUACUAGGGGGCCGCGGCCACACUGUGGAGGGUCGGGGACACCAGGCUGAGCACAGGUGGGAGCUCCGGGGGUGAGGAGAAGCUGAGGCAGGAUGGCAAGGGCCAAUGGCAAGAUCUGGCAGCUGAUGUAACAGUAACAGCACUGGACAGAUAUGAUCUCACUUGACCUUCUCAAAAACCCCACUGAAGAGAUGAGGACGCCGGGUCCCAUGGUCUCUCCAUGGCCCCUCGCUGAGAGGUGGGGGAGAAGGCGGGGUUUGAGCACAGCCUCUGCCGGAUAUACUAAGCAAAUACUUGUGGAAAGACAGAAGCCACAUUCAGUCUAAGGCCAUGAUAACCUGUCUCCUGACCUUUCUGAUCUUCUGCCAUUGGCCUCCCCUCCCCAAGGUACACUCUUGCCAUCCUCCUCAAAGGUCCUGAGACAAGAGAUGGGGCCCAUCUCCCAGCUCUGUGCCCCAUGCCUGGUCUGCUCUGCCUUCUAGCUUGCUUUAAAACGGUUCAAAUCUCCCCCGACCCUCCCAGGGUUCCCUCCCUCUCAGAGAGCCAGAACAUGUCUCUCCAUUGGAAUAGAAGCUCCUAGAGGGCAGGGACUGUUUUUAUUUUCUAUUCCCAGAGCCUGGCCCAGUGCCUGACACGGCCAGAAAUGCCUGCCCGCGCCUGAAAUCCUUUACUCCCCCCUUGGGAAGGGAAUAGCACCGGGCCUGGUGCUCCGCCUCAGCCAGACUAAGACUGAAGCCUCUUUUGACAGAGCAACGAGUCAAGAAAUACUUGUAGAAAGAACCAAAGUGGGAAAGGUAACGAAUGUCACAGAAGGAGAGACUGGCAAGCCGGGACUGCAGACGCUCCUACAGGCUGGGCCCCAUUUCUCAAGCUUGCUAACUGUGUGUGAGGCAGAACAAGAUCUACAUCAGCCAAGAAAAUGCUCUUCUCCCAGCAAACAUGAAGCUAGAGAUAAUAUCCUGAUCAUCAAAAUUCGAUCAGAUGAUUCUUCCCCGAUUCUUGCAGAUUCGAGCUGUAUUUUAUUCCCUGUAAACAUUCUCUAAACAAUA